GAUCAUGGCUCAGGAUGAACGCUAGCGGCAGGCUUAACACAUGCAAGUCGAGGGGUAUAGUUCUUCGGAACUAGAGACCGGCGCACGGGUGCGUAACGCGUAUGCAAUCUACCUUUCACAAAGGGAUAGCCCAGAGAAAUUUGGAUUAAUACCUUAUAGUAUAGCGAGUUCGCAUGGAUUUGCUAUUAAAGAUUUAUCGGUGAAAGAUGAGCAUGCGUCCCAUUAGCUAGUUGGUAAGGUAACGGCUUACCAAGGCUACGAUGGGUAGGGGUCCUGAGAGGGAGAUCCCCCACACUGGUACUGAGACACGGACCAGACUCCUACGGGAGGCAGCAGUGAGGAAUAUUGGUCAAUGGGCGCAAGCCUGAACCAGCCAUGCCGCGUGCAGGAUGACGGUCCUAUGGAUUGUAAACUGCUUUUGUACAGGAAGAAACACCCCGACGUGUCGGGACUUGACGGUACUGUAAGAAUAAGGAUCGGCUAACUCCGUGCCAGCAGCCGCGGUAAUACGGAGGAUCCAAGCGUUAUCCGGAAUCAUUGGGUUUAAAGGGUCCGUAGGCGGCUUAAUAAGUCAGUGGUGAAAUCCCUACGCUUAACGUAGGAACGGCCAUUGAUACUGUUAGGCUUGAAUUAUUAGGAAGUAACUAGAAUAUGUAGUGUAGCGGUGAAAUGCUUAGAGAUUACAUGGAAUACCAAUUGCGAAGGCAGGUUACUACUAAUGGAUUGACGCUGAUGGACGAAAGCGUGGGUAGCGAACAGGAUUAGAUACCCUGGUAGUCCACGCCGUAAACGAUGGAUACUAGCUGUUGGAAGCAAUUUCAGUGGCUAAGCGAAAGUGAUAAGUAUCCCACCUGGGGAGUACGUUCGCAAGAAUGAAACUCAAAGGAAUUGACGGGGCCCGCACAAGCGGUGGAGCA
This 917-nucleotide ribosomal RNA is filed under the name uncultured bacterium. Its description in RNAcentral is "bacterial SSU rRNA". It matches the Rfam family "Bacterial small subunit ribosomal RNA", at positions 15 to 939 of the family's 1533-position model. The record is from RNAcentral.